CGCGGGGUGGAGCAGUCUGGUAGCUCGUCGGGCUCAUAACCCGAAGGUCGUUGGUUCAAAUCCAGCCCCCCGCAACCA
RNAcentral lists this transfer RNA (78 nucleotides) under Pseudomonas aeruginosa. RNAcentral describes it as "tRNA-Met". It matches the Rfam family "tRNA". Rfam says of the family: Transfer RNA (tRNA) molecules are approximately 80 nucleotides in length. Their secondary structure includes four short double-helical elements and three loops (D, anti-codon, and T loops). Further hydrogen bonds mediate the characteristic L-shaped molecular structure. tRNAs have two regions of fundamental functional importance: the anti-codon, which is responsible for specific mRNA codon recognition, and the 3' end, to which the tRNAs corresponding amino acid is attached (by aminoacyl-tRNA synthetases). tRNAs cope with the degeneracy of the genetic code in two manners: having more than one tRNA (with a specific anti-codon) for a particular amino acid; and 'wobble' base-pairing, i.e. permitting non-standard base-pairing at the 3rd anti-codon position. The record is from RNAcentral. RNAcentral also lists the same sequence under 1 other name. Lineage: Bacteria; Pseudomonadati; Pseudomonadota; Gammaproteobacteria; Pseudomonadales; Pseudomonadaceae.